Molecule: ribosomal RNA, 469 nt
Filed under: uncultured bacterium
Lineage: Bacteria
Description: partial 16S ribosomal RNA
Rfam family: Bacterial small subunit ribosomal RNA
Source: RNAcentral
GACGAACGCUGGCGGCGUGCUUAACACAUGCAAGUCGAACGGAAAGGCCCUGCUUUUGUGGGGUGCUCGAGUGGCGAACGGGUGAGUAACACGUGAGUAACCUGCCCUUGACUUUGGGAUAACUUCAGGAAACUGGGGCUAAUACCGGAUAGGAGCUCCUGCUGCAUGGUGGGGGUUGGAAAGUUUCGGCGGUUGGGGAUGGACUCGCGGCUUAUCAGCUUGUUGGUGGGGUAGUGGCUUACCAAGGCUUUGACGGGUAGCCGGCCUGAGAGGGUGACCGGCCACAUUGAGACUGAGAUACGGCCCAGACUCCUACGGGAGGCAGCAGUGGGGAAUAUUGCACAAUGGGUGGAAGCCUGAUGCAGCAACGCCGUGUGCGGGAUGACGGCCUUCGGGUUGUAAACCGCUUUCGCUCAUGACGAAGCUUUGUGUGACGGUAGUGGGUAAAGAAGCACCGGCUAACUACGUG